RNAcentral lists this ribosomal RNA (547 nucleotides) under Eukoenenia florenciae. RNAcentral's name for it is "SSU rRNA". The record is from RNAcentral. Lineage: Eukaryota; Metazoa; Arthropoda; Arachnida; Palpigradi; Eukoeneniidae.
GCUUGUCUCAAAGAUUWAGCCAUGCAUGUCUAAGUACAUGCCUAAACUAAGGCGAAACCGCGAAUGGCUCAUUACAUCAGUUGUGGUUCCUUGGACGUGUCCCUUUUACUUGGAUAACUGUGGUAAUUCUAGAGCUWAUACAUGCAGCAAAGCCCCGACCUCGCGGGACGGGCGCAUUUAUUAGGCCAAGACCAAUCGGGCCCCCUCGCGGGGCCCGUCAAGUUAUGGCGACUCUGGAUAACCUCGGGCUGAUCGCACGGUCGCGAACCGGCGACGCAUCCUUCAAGUGUCUGCCUUAUCAACUUUCGAUGGUAGGUUACGCGCCUACCAUGGUUGUAACGGGUGACGGGGAAUCAGGGUUCGAUUCCGGAGAGGGAGCCUGAGAAACGGCUACCACAUCCAAGGAAGGCAGCAGGCGCGCAAAUUACCCACUCCCGGCACGGGGAGGUAGUGACGAAAAAUAACAAUACGGGACUCUUUCGAGGCCUCGUAAUUGGAAUGGGUACAGUCUAAACCCUUUAACGAGUAUCCAUUGGAGGGCAAGUCU